GCACAAGCAGCGGAGCGUGUGGUUUAAUUCGUUGCUACACGAAGAACCUUACCUGGGUUUGACAUAUAAGUUGUAGGGAACUGAAAAGGGACCGACCUUCGGGAGCUUAUACAGGUGUUGCAUGGCUGUCGUCAGCUCGUGUCAUGAGAUGUUCGGUUAAGUCCGCUAACGAGCGCAACCCUCGCCGUAUGUUACAAGUGUCAUACGGGACUGCCGGUAAAAGCCGGAGGAAGGUGAGGAUGAUGUCAAGUCAGCAUGACCUUUAUAUCCAGGGCUACACACACGCUACAAUGGUCUGUACAAUUGGUUGCCAAGCCGCGAGGCGGAGCCAAUCCGUAAAGCAGGCCUCAGUUCAGAUUGCAGUCUGCAACUCGACUGCAUGAAGCCGGAGUUGCUAGUAACCGCAGGUCAGCAAUACUGCGGUGAAUACGUUCCCGGGUCUU
Molecule: ribosomal RNA, 443 nt
Filed under: uncultured Anaerolineaceae bacterium
Lineage: Bacteria; Bacillati; Chloroflexota; Anaerolineae; Anaerolineales; Anaerolineaceae
Description: bacterial SSU rRNA
Rfam family: Bacterial small subunit ribosomal RNA
Source: RNAcentral